RNAcentral lists this ribosomal RNA (789 nucleotides) under Serratia nematodiphila. RNAcentral's name for it is "bacterial SSU rRNA". It matches the Rfam family "Bacterial small subunit ribosomal RNA", at positions 49 to 828 of the family's 1533-position model. The record is from RNAcentral. Lineage: Bacteria; Pseudomonadati; Pseudomonadota; Gammaproteobacteria; Enterobacterales; Yersiniaceae.
UUACACAUGCAGUCGAGCGGUAGCACAGGGGAGCUUGCUCCCUGGGUGACGAGCGGCGGACGGGUGAGUAAUGUCUGGGAAACUGCCUGAUGGAGGGGGAUAACUACUGGAAACGGUAGCUAAUACCGCAUAACGUCGCAAGACCAAAGAGGGGGACCUUCGGGCCUCUUGCCAUCAGAUGUGCCCAGAUGGGAUUAGCUAGUAGGUGGGGUAAUGGCUCACCUAGGCGACGAUCCCUAGCUGGUCUGAGAGGAUGACCAGCCACACUGGAACUGAGACACGGUCCAGACUCCUACGGGAGGCAGCAGUGGGGAAUAUUGCACAAUGGGCGCAAGCCUGAUGCAGCCAUGCCGCGUGUGUGAAGAAGGCCUUCGGGUUGUAAAGCACUUUCAGCGAGGAGGAAGGUGGUGAGCUUAAUACGCUCAUCAAUUGACGUUACUCGCAGAAGAAGCACCGGCUAACUCCGUGCCAGCAGCCGCGGUAAUACGGAGGGUGCAAGCGUUAAUCGGAAUUACUGGGCGUAAAGCGCACGCAGGCGGUUUGUUAAGUCAGAUGUGAAAUCCCCGGGCUCAACCUGGGAACUGCAUUUGAAACUGGCAAGCUAGAGUCUCGUAGAGGGGGGUAGAAUUCCAGGUGUAGCGGUGAAAUGCGUAGAGAUCUGGAGGAAUACCGGUGGCGAAGGCGGCCCCCUGGACGAAGACUGACGCUCAGGUGCGAAAGCGUGAGGAGCAAACAGGAUUAGAUACCCUGGUAGUCCACGCUGUAAACGAUGUCGAUUUGGAGGUUGUG